Galleria mellonella (greater wax moth) is the source of this 929-nucleotide long non-coding RNA. RefSeq lists it as uncharacterized. NCBI's taxonomy places the organism in Eukaryota, Metazoa, Arthropoda, Insecta, Lepidoptera, Pyralidae. The transcript is spliced from 2 exons. The record is from RefSeq and is a predicted model, not a curated record.
ACCGGCCAGAUGCAAUUUCCGUAAUAUUAUAAUAGAUAGCACUAAUAUUAAUUUUCAUAUCAAGCUUCCACAUGGACAUGAGUGUUUACCUCGCAGAGGAAGAUUGAGUCGCGACGUGUUUUGUUUCAGUGGACUGAUUUGUUCAUUACGUGACGUUUGUUCAAAACACAAGUAAAGUUCAGAGGGUGAUUACUGCGAUUAGAGAACGAGUUCACUAAUUAUUUUAGCUUGGUGCUUAAAGAUGUCUGGUGAUGAGAAUAAUGAUAAGAGAUUGAAGAAGAAAGGUACUUGGCAUCCUGAGAAUAUGCAUAAAGCAGUGCAAAAGGUGUUGAAUAAAGAAAUAAGUGCACGUCAGGCAGCUGAUCGCUAUCGGGUACCAAGGACUACCUUAAAUGAUAGAGUAAAUGCUGUUAAAAAUAACAAAGAGAUAUAUAUGAAGCCGGUUAUGGGUCACUUUCAUAAAACUUUUUCAUCUGAACAUGAAGAAAUAUUAGCUGAACAUAUUAAAGACUUGGCAAAUAGAUUAAUGCCUUUAAAUAAACAGGAAUUUCUUCACCUUGCUUUCCAAAUUGCUGAAAAGUUGAAAUUACCAGUCAUUUUCAUUAGUCGGCAAGAAAAGCAAAAAAUCCAGAAAUGAUAAAGAAAACCAAUACCGUCCACACAAUCAAUCUACUCAGGAACUGACAACUUGUCCUUUGUGCCUAGAAACUCACGAGGAAGAUUGGAUACAAUAUGGAAAUUGUAAGAUCUGGGUCCACGAAGCUUGUGCAAAUAUAUCAGAGCUGUUAAACCAAUAUAUUUGUGACUUUUGCCAUGUAUAACUAUACAUAUUUUUAUUGGCCGGUACUGGAGGACAGUUUUAUAACAGUUGAUUUUUUAAUGUCUUAAAAUAUAAUUAAUAAAGUUACUAUUUUUAAAAUAUCUCAAUA